CCAGGAGAAAAAAGUAGGAGUCAGAAACCCCAGGCAUAGGGCUCUGCCUCAUGAUGUACAGUCCCUUUCUACAACGUGGAGAAGAAGCUGGACCUUAUGUCUGCACCUGCAUAUUCCUACAACUUGUCAGAGUCCUUUGGGCAGUGACUGAGGAGAUAAACCAUGCAGGAAACAACG
RNAcentral lists this small nucleolar RNA (177 nucleotides) under Cavia porcellus (domestic guinea pig). RNAcentral's name for it is "Small nucleolar RNA SNORA73 family". It matches the Rfam family "Small nucleolar RNA SNORA73 family", at positions 66 to 219 of the family's 219-position model. Rfam says of the family: U17 (SNORA73A and SNORA73B) also known as E1 belongs to the H/ACA class of small nucleolar RNAs (snoRNAs). Vertebrate U17 is intron-encoded and ranges in length from 200-230 nucleotides, longer than most snoRNAs. The record is from Rfam by way of RNAcentral. Lineage: Eukaryota; Metazoa; Chordata; Mammalia; Rodentia; Caviidae.